UCAAAGACAGCUUAGUCCUGUGAAAGUCAAGUGCUUGUUCUUGACAGCAUAUCCAAGUAAACGCUUCAACCUCUCAGUCUAAUGAGCUUAAAACACCCAUCUAGCAAUGACCACUAUACACCAUGGGAACUCCCACCCCUGUGGAGGUCUGAGCAUCUGUGUUGUUUAUAAACGUUGACUGUAUGUCCAGUGUUGGUACAAGCAUUUCUCUAAUGUGAACUCAUUUCAUUUCUAGAUGAUCCAAUGGAACACCUCCUACUGCUGCUUCUGCUUUAUGGAUGAGGACAUGCAGGCAUUUUGAGGCUGAGUAACUUGGCUGAAGUCAAUCAGUAAGCCACAGAAGCAUAGUUCAGAUCCAUGCAGUAUGGCUCUGGAGACCAGGUUUCUUUUUAUGGGUCCAACCUGAAGAAACACUCUACAUGGCCAAAUCUAAUGUUGUCACUAAAGCUGCUAUGAGGAACUGCAGGCCCAGCAGAAGGCACAGCCAAGACUGAAGGCUACUGUCAUGGCUGAGGCAAUCACCAGCAUCUUGUAUGGGGAAGGAUAGAGGGAGCUGAGAGGUGAACAGAGACUACUGGCUUUGGAAAUAGAUCCAUACAGCCUCUAGCCCUGCAAAGGGCAUCCUUUAUCACCCACAGCAAGCUCAAGGGCAUUAAGAACCUUACCGUGAUCUCUUUGGUAUCUACAAGAUCCCUAAAAGGUAACACAGCCACUCAGCUCCCAUUGCAAUCUCCGUGGUUCUGAGUGGCUGGGACAAAGCCUGCUGGAGGGAAAAUCUGCCCCACUUCAGAUGCUCAUGCUGGCUCUGACACAUGCUGCAAACAAGCAGCUUCCCACUGUCCAUCCAUUUCCCAUUUUCCUCAUUUGGUUAAACCACUCACUCAGUACUGGGAGCUUCCGUUUUUUUCCCUCAUCUUGAACAUCACGUACUGUUCCAGCCCACAGCCAGCCACCCAGGAAGGAAGCACAGUGUUCCUGGUCAGCCAUAUGGCCACAUUGUUGAAAAGCUCUGUAAGUCAUGUUAUCUGAACCCCAUUAAAAAAGAUCUAUGAGAACUUGA
This is a long non-coding RNA of Mus musculus (house mouse), 1060 nucleotides long. RefSeq annotates it as predicted gene, 38809. The record is from RefSeq and is a predicted model, not a curated record. Lineage: Eukaryota; Metazoa; Chordata; Mammalia; Rodentia; Muridae. The transcript is spliced from 2 exons.